GAAUGAGAAGCACUGUCAGGAUUCCUGAAGCGGCCAGGACCUUAACGAGCUCGACACAGCCCAACGCGGUAACGGAUAUGGCACUAUGAGGUUCUUCGAAGCUUGGUUGACUGAAUGAAUGAAACACGUCCGCAGCUGUCUGACAGGAGAGAAAGAUACGUACACUACCGAGCAGGCAUAGCAGCCCUGUUUACUGCUUUCCCGGACCAGGAAGGUGCCAUCUCGCUUCCCCCGGAGUAGGUUUUCAGCCUUGUUUCUGUUGCUGCUGCCGACAUUCCAUGUCUUCUCGUCGUGGUGCGGCAAAUCCUCAUCAUCCUCCACCAGCGAGUAUUGGCUAAGGAGGCAGGAGAGAAAGGUUUGACAUGAAGCCCUGGGAGAGGUCACCUCUCCCACCGAGCCCGUCAGGCCAGCCACCGCGGCUCUGACUCAGGAGGCACUUGGCCGUGGAGCUCAGCCUUCCAUGUGACCUCCCUGGACAAAGAGCCCCAGUAGUAAGACUCUUCCUCUUUGUAAGUCAGGAGCUACAUGUAGGCAGCUGGGCAGAGGGGAAGGUAUCAAACGAUCCUGUUUGUCCAGUUCAGAUCAGGAAACCGACUGACUAGGAGGACUGCCAGUUUCUCCUGUAAUUCAAACAAAACCUAGCCUUAAGCUUUAAAGAUACACUGAACAGAAUUGUGUCCUUUUUUUCCUCCCGACUGUUCCAGAAACCCACUGGGGAUUUUUACAGGUUUGGGGCCUUCCUUCUAGACAGAGUCACUCAAUUGGACUGUGGGUAAAAACUAACUCUGCAUCCUUCACUAAACUUUCCUUUUUUGUAACAUUCUGGAUAAUGCAAUGUGGUAUACAGAAGAUGUUCCAAACUCCGUGAAAUUCCUCACUUGGUCUGCAAACAAAGCAAGUCACGAGUUCUCUUACCAUGAAGACCCCCCCCCCCCAACCCCCGCCAGCCUCCCACCUACGGGCAUCAAAAAGUUAAAUCUUCAUUUUGGAGGUCAGACAAGUUUGUGGAACUUUGAGUUGUUACGUCAAAUCCACUUGAAACUCCCAGCGACCUCUGCAAUUAUCAUCACGAGAACUUCUCAUUCUGACACUUACGAGCUUCAUUUAAAAGGUUUAUUAGAGAUGCUAUGAAUAUUAAACAAUGAUCUGCAAAUACGUGAUCUUUCCCCCCACUUGAUGAGCAAAACCUCAACUUUACUUUCUUUUUCCUAAACCGAACUGACACAUGUUCGAUUCUACUAAGAGUUCUGAGAUUUUAAUUUGAUUUUAGCAAAAAACUCACCUGGGAAGUACGGGUAUAAUCUUCAUAUAAUCUAUCAUAUUCCCGACUUUUUUCUUGAAAUUGAGUGUUAUAUUCAUGUAAUUUUUUCCCUACAGCUUCAAUAUUAUCUUCUUUGACAACUUGAUCCUGGAAGAAUGAGAGAUGGGAAGAGAGAAAACUUCAGUUCAUCAGCUAUGCAGUCCAGUAACUGGCCAUACUCAAACUGUAAUUUUGUGACCACAGGUAUAAAGUUUUUAAAAUUUUAUUACAUGCAAGUCACCUGCUUCACAAUGUUUUCUAAGUAUUUGAAAGUGUCUUGUCUAAACAUUGUAAUUUGAGCAUUUCAGUUUUGAAUACCUGUUGGUAUUUGGAUACUGGAUAAAGUAAUUUCACGUCCAGUUUGGGAUUAUACUGAGCUAGGGACUCAUUCCGGUAGUGGUUUAUUAGUUCAACCACAGAGUUGAAGGUUAGUGGGUCAGAGAAGCCAUAUUUCCCAUCUCGGUGAAAUAUUUUGAUUAACUUGUUAUUUCCUCCUUUCCUGUAAACACAAUAAAAUAAAGGGCAUGAUUACAAUCUUCUUUAGAAA
Neofelis nebulosa (Clouded leopard) is the source of this 1847-nucleotide long non-coding RNA. RefSeq lists it as uncharacterized. The transcript is spliced from 3 exons. The record is from RefSeq and is a predicted model, not a curated record. NCBI's taxonomy places the organism in Eukaryota, Metazoa, Chordata, Mammalia, Carnivora, Felidae.